CCUACGGGGGGCAGCAGUGGGGAAUAUUGGACAAUGGGCGAAAGCCUGAUCCAGCCAUGCCGCGUGUGUGAAGAAGGCCUUCGGGUUGUAAAGCACUUUCAGUGGGGAAGAAAGCCUUGGGGCUAAUACCCUCGAGGAAGGACAUCACCCACAGAAGAAGCACCGGCUAACUCCGUGCCAGCAGCCGCGGUAAUACGGAGGGUGCGAGCGUUAAUCGGAAUUACUGGGCGUAAAGCGCGCGUAGGCGGUCUGAUAAGCCGGUUGUGAAAGCCCCGGGCUCAACCUGGGAACGGCAUCCGGAACUGUCAGGCUAGAGUGCAGGAGAGGAAGGUAGAAUUCCCGGUGUAGCGGUGAAAUGCGUAGAGAUCGGGAGGAAUACCAGUGGCGAAGGCGGCCUUCUGGACUGACACUGACGCUGAGGUGCGAAAGCGUGGGUAGCAAACAGGAUUAGAUCCCCGAGUAGUC
RNAcentral lists this ribosomal RNA (465 nucleotides) under Vreelandella stevensii. Its description in RNAcentral is "partial 16S ribosomal RNA". It matches the Rfam family "Bacterial small subunit ribosomal RNA", at positions 338 to 795 of the family's 1533-position model. The record is from RNAcentral. Lineage: Bacteria; Pseudomonadati; Pseudomonadota; Gammaproteobacteria; Oceanospirillales; Halomonadaceae.